GUGAGGAACCUGCCCCGAAGACCGGGAUAACCCUCCGAAAGGAGAGCUAAUACCGGAUACCCCCACCGGACCGCAUGAUCUGGUGAGGAAAUGGAUUCCGCUUCGGGAGGGCCUCGCGGCCUAUCAGCUUGUUGGUGGGGUAAUGGCCCACCAAGGCUUCGACGGGUAGCUGGUCUGAGAGGACGAUCAGCCACACUGGGACUGAGACACGGCCCAGACUCCUACGGGAGGCAGCAGUGGGGAAUCUUGCGCAAUGGGCGAAAGCCUGACGCAGCAACGCCGCGUGGGGGAUGAAGGCUCUCGGGUUGUAAACCCCUUUCAGCAGGGACGAAACUGACGGUACCUGCAGAAGAAGCCCCGGCCAACUACGUGCCAGCAGCCGCGGUAACACGUAGGGGGCAAGCGUUGUCCGGAUUUAUUGGGCGUAAAGAGCUCGUAGGCGGCUCAGUAAGUCGGGUGUGAAACCUCCAGGCUCAACCUGGAGACGCCACCCGAUACUGCUGUGGCUAGAGUCCGGUAGGGGAGCGUGGAAUU
Molecule: ribosomal RNA, 534 nt
Filed under: uncultured Acidimicrobiaceae bacterium
Lineage: Bacteria; Bacillati; Actinomycetota; Acidimicrobiia; Acidimicrobiales; Acidimicrobiaceae
Description: bacterial SSU rRNA
Rfam family: Bacterial small subunit ribosomal RNA
Source: RNAcentral